AGAGUUUGAUUCUGGCUCAGAACGAACGCUGGCGGCGUGGAUAAGACAUGCAAGUCGAACGGAGAAACUACUUAGCUUGCUUUGGAGUUUCUUAGUGGCGAACGGGUGAGUAACACGUGAGUAACCUGCCCUUGACUUUGGGAUAACUUCAGGAAACUGGGGCUAAUACCGGAUAGGAGCUCCUGCUGCAUGGUGGGGGUUGGAAAGUUUCGGCGGUUGGGGAUGGACUCGCGGCUUAUCAGCUUGUUGGUGGGGUAGUGGCUUACCAAGGCUUUGACGGGUAGCCGGCCUGAGAGGGUGACCGGCCACAUUGGGACUGAGAUACGGCCCAGACUCCUACGGGAGGCAGCAGUGGGGAAUAUUGCACAAUGGGCGGAAGCCUGAUGCAGCAACGCCGCGUGCGGGAUGACGGCCUUCGGGUUGUAAACCGCUUUCGCCUGUGACGAAGCGUGAGUGACGGUAAUGGGUAAAGAAGCACCGGCUAACUACGUGCCAGCAGCCGCGGUGAUACGUAGGGUGCGAGCGUUGUCCGGAUUUAUUGGGCGUAAAGGGCUCGUAGGUGGUUGAUCGCGUCGGAAGUGUAAUCUUGGGGCUUAACCCUGAGCGUGCUUUUGAUACGGGUUGACUUGAGGAAGGUAGGGGAGAAUGGAAUUCCUGGUGGAGCGGUGGAAUGCGCAGAUAUCAGGAGGAACACCGGUGGCGAAGGCGGUUCUCUGGGCCUUUCCUGACGCUGAGGAGCGAAAGCGUGGGGAGCGAACAGGCUUAGAUACCCUGGUAGUCCACGCUGUAAACGGUGGGUACUAGGUGUGGGGUCCAUUCCACGGGUUCCGUGCCGUAGCUAACGCUUUAAGUACCCCGCCUGGGGAGUACGGCCGCAAGGCUAAAACUCAAAGGAAUUGACGGGGCCCCGCACAAGCGGCGGAGCAUGCGGAUUAAUUCGAUGCAACGCGAAGAACCUUACCAAGGCUUGACAUGGGCCGGCUGCUCCUGGAGACGGGGGCUCCCCUCUUUUUUGGGGCUGGUUCACAGGUGGUGCAUGGUUGUCGUCAGCUCGUGUCGUGAGAUGUUGGGUUAAGUCCCGCAACGAGCGCAACCC
RNAcentral lists this ribosomal RNA (1096 nucleotides) under museum specimen metagenome. RNAcentral's name for it is "bacterial SSU rRNA". It matches the Rfam family "Bacterial small subunit ribosomal RNA", at positions 8 to 1104 of the family's 1533-position model. The record is from RNAcentral.